UGUAAAAUUCUCAGCGUUCACUUGAUC
This 27-nucleotide small RNA is filed under the name Bombyx mori (domestic silkworm). RNAcentral describes it as "ovarian small RNA-35265". The record is from RNAcentral. Lineage: Eukaryota; Metazoa; Arthropoda; Insecta; Lepidoptera; Bombycidae.